RNAcentral lists this ribosomal RNA (425 nucleotides) under uncultured bacterium. RNAcentral describes it as "partial 16S ribosomal RNA". It matches the Rfam family "Bacterial small subunit ribosomal RNA", at positions 354 to 796 of the family's 1533-position model. The record is from RNAcentral.
GUGGGGAAUAUUGGGCAAUGGGGGAAACCCUGACCCAGCAACGCCGCGUGAAGGAAGAAGGUUUUCGGAUCGUAAACUUCUAUCCUUGGUGAAGAUAAUGACGGUAGCCAAGAAGGAAGCCCCGGCUAACUACGUGCCAGCAGCCGCGGUAAUACGUAGGGGGCAAGCGUUGUCCGGAAUGAUUGGGCGUAAAGGGCGCGUAGGCGGCCUGGUAAGUCUGGAGUGAAAGUCCUGCUUUUAAGGUGGGAAUUGCUUUGGAUACUGUCGGGCUUGAGUGCAGGAGAGGUAAGCGGAAUUCCCGGUGUAGCGGUGAAAUGCGUAGAGAUCGGGAGGAACACCAGUGGCGAAGGCGACUUACUGGACUGUAACUGACGCUGAGGCGCGAAAGUGUGGGGAGCAAACAGGAUUAGAAACCCCAGUAGUCC